Non-coding RNA from Apaloderma vittatum (bar-tailed trogon), 74 nucleotides. The record is from Rfam. NCBI's taxonomy places the organism in Eukaryota, Metazoa, Chordata, Aves, Trogoniformes, Trogonidae.
GGACCGGUUAGCUCAGUCAGUUGAGCGUGGCGCUAACAACGCUAAGGUAGCGGGUUCGAUUCCCGUUCGGUCCC